UACGUAGGUGGCAAGCGUUGUCCGGAUUUACUGGGUGUAAAGGGCGUGUAGGCGGGACUGCAAGUCAGAUGUGAAAUCCAGGGGCUCAACCCUUGGCCUGCAUUUGAAACUGUGGUUCUUGAGUGAUGGAGAGGCAGGCGGAAUUCCUUGUGUAGCGGUGAAAUGCGUAGAUAUAAGGAGGAACACCAGUGGCGAAGGCGGCCUGCUGGACAUUAACUGACGCUGAGGCGCGAAAGCGUGGGGAGCAAACAGGAUUAGA
RNAcentral lists this ribosomal RNA (259 nucleotides) under uncultured prokaryote. RNAcentral describes it as "partial 16S ribosomal RNA". It matches the Rfam family "Bacterial small subunit ribosomal RNA", at positions 524 to 782 of the family's 1533-position model. The record is from RNAcentral.